This 105-nucleotide non-coding RNA is filed under the name unclassified sequences. The record is from Rfam.
UAGCGCCUGUGGCGGAUCCGGCACGAAUCUUUAAAGGCUUCGCAGGCAGCCGACUCGUGUACGAUCUUGUAGAAUUCAAGUUAACACUUGAAUUUAAUGAUUUCU